Molecule: small nucleolar RNA, 107 nt
Organism: Dendrobium catenatum
Lineage: Eukaryota; Viridiplantae; Streptophyta; Magnoliopsida; Asparagales; Orchidaceae
Source: RefSeq, a predicted model, not a curated record
AAGGCAUUGUGAGGGCAUUUCCUAAACAUUUUCUUAAAUCUCUCCCAACUUUUAUAAAUUCAUUCUCCUUUAAAGUAGGUAAAGGAAGUGAUAUCAUUUCUAAAUUU